CCAAAAGCUAGUGAAACUUCCAUCCCAGGCUCACCAGAGUUUGAAGACUUGCAUUCAGGAUGGCUGAUCCUCGGUGCGGGUUCUCCGCCAGGCUUGGUCCCUCCUGCGGGCCACCCUUCCUAGCUGGACGGUCUCCGUGACGUGGAGCUGAGCAGUUGUCCGUGGCUGAGCCAAGUUAUUUCGGGCUGCAGUGUGGAGUGCUGUGUACACACCCCGACAAAGGACAUCAAACAGAUCUGUGAACCGUGGUUGUGAUGGGAGCUAAUUAGCAUUUCAUAACAUUCAGCGGGGGAGAAAAAGCAAUGACACUUCAGAGCAAAUAAAACCCAUUUGCAAAUUUAA
This is a long non-coding RNA of Canis lupus familiaris (dog), 342 nucleotides long. RefSeq lists it as uncharacterized. The record is from RefSeq and is a predicted model, not a curated record. The transcript is spliced from 2 exons. NCBI's taxonomy places the organism in Eukaryota, Metazoa, Chordata, Mammalia, Carnivora, Canidae.